Oncorhynchus tshawytscha (Chinook salmon) is the source of this 1439-nucleotide long non-coding RNA. The record is from Ensembl. NCBI's taxonomy places the organism in Eukaryota, Metazoa, Chordata, Actinopteri, Salmoniformes, Salmonidae.
CAAUACGUAAGACACUAAACAAGAAUGGUGUUCAUGGGAGGACACCACGGAAGAAGCCACUGCUGUCCAAAUAAAACAUUGCUACACUGUCUGAAUUUUGUCAAAGUGCACCUGGAUGUUCCACAACGCUACCAGCAUAAUGUUCUGUGGACAGAUGAAACUGCAGUUGAGUUGUUUGGAAGGAACACACAACACCGUGUGGAGGAAAAGGCACAGCACACCAACAUCAAAACAUCAUCCCAACUGUAAAGUAUGGUGGAGGGAGCAUCAUGGUUUGGGGCUGCUUUGCUGCCCCAGGGCCUGGUCAGCUUGCUAUCGUUGACAGAAAAAUGAAUUCCCAUGUUUAUCAAGACAUUUUGAAGGAGAAUGUUCGGCUAACUGUUCUCCAAUUGAACCUCAACAGAAGUUGGGAGAUGCAACAGGACAAUGAUGCAAAACACAGAAGUAAAUCAACAGAAGAAAAUAAGCCUUCUGGAGUGGCCCAGUCAGAGUCCUGACCUCAACCCCAUUGAGAUGCUGUGGCAUGACCUCGAGAGCAGUUCACACCAGACAUCCCAAGAAUAUUGCUGAACUGAAACAGUUUUGUAAAGAGGAAUGGUGUUACAUUUAUUGUUUCUGUAUUGUGUUUUUUUUUGUAUGUGUGUUUCAGGAUGGCUUCCUAAAAUUCCCCCAAGCAGCUGAUUGGUCGGCCCCAUUGCUAAUUGGAGCUGAACCCGCCCUCUCGUCAGAGGAUACAGCUGUUUCCCAUUGGACUCCUCCUGAAGCUAGAAAAGCCUGUGUUCCUUUGUUAGGAGAGAGCUGAUUGUUAUGUUCUGUGCUAGUUUGUUGCUCAGAGAAAGAGAGCUUAUUAGUAUGUCCUGUGUGUGUCAAUAGGACGCAGUGUUUUUGAUUCUUGAAGUUGUUUACUUAUGUUUGUAUUCUGUUUCAUUUGUUCCCAGGGGGGAAGGGGAAGGCAACUAGGGAGUGCUUAGGCAAGAGGCCUGCGGGAAUACAUAACCAGUAGUAUUUACAGUCUAUGCACACUAGGUAAGACCUGGGCGGACCACCCCCUGUAUUUUGGUUAGCGCACCAGGAGGUGCUAAAAGGUUAGGUAAGUGGGUAGGCAGGUAAGAUAGGAGAGGGCAGGUUAGGUAAGUAGUGGGUAGGCAGGUAAGAUAGGAUAGGAGAGGGUAGGUUAGGUAAGUAGUGGGUAGGCAGGUAAGAUAGGAUAGGAGAGGGUAGGUUAGGUAAGUAGUGGGUAGGCAGGUAAGAUAGGAGAGGGUAGGUUAGGUAAGUAGUGGGUAGGCAGGUAAGAUAGGAGAGGGCAGGUUAGGUAAGUAGUGGGUAGGCAGGUAAGAUGGUAGAUGGGGCUUUGACAUUUACUUUCUUUGCUUUGGUUCCGUUCAGCUCCUUUCCCUCAAAUGUAUCGUGUGAAGGAAUAAAUUACCAGUAAAGGGUCA